UAGGGGAUAUGUCGCGAAACUAUGAAUGAAAAACUAAUCGGCAGUCUUGGAGCCAAGAAUCCAUGAGUAUGACCAUACCCAACCAGCAAAAAUAUUAUGGCUAUUGAAGCAUUGAAGGAAAAAAAUGGGAUGGGAAUUGCAGCAAAAACAUUUGGUUUCUAAAGCGACGCUUAGAAGAUAUGCACUCAAUAUGAACAAAACCUUGAAUUCUAACCCUAAAAGAUUAGGAAGAAUCUCAAACGAUUUAAUUAUUGUGAACUUUGUUCUUAAAAAUGUGUAUGUCAUUUUGUCCAUACUUAGAUAUGGACAAAUAUUUUGGUUUUUGUGAUUAGUCAUCUUUUUUCUUUUUGUAUGUUUUAUUAUAG
This is a long non-coding RNA of Aricia agestis (brown argus), 365 nucleotides long. RefSeq lists it as uncharacterized. The record is from RefSeq and is a predicted model, not a curated record. The transcript has 3 exons. Lineage: Eukaryota; Metazoa; Arthropoda; Insecta; Lepidoptera; Lycaenidae.